This 481-nucleotide ribosomal RNA is filed under the name uncultured bacterium. Its description in RNAcentral is "bacterial SSU rRNA". It matches the Rfam family "Bacterial small subunit ribosomal RNA", at positions 28 to 521 of the family's 1533-position model. The record is from RNAcentral.
GACGAACGCUGGCGGCGUGCUUAACACAUGCAAGUCGAACGGAGCUUAUGGAGAGCUUGCUCGAAGUAAGCUUAGUGGCGAACGGGUGAGUAACGCGUGAGCAACCUGUCUCAUACAGGGGGAUAACACUUGGAAACAGGUGCUAAUACCGCAUAAGACCACAGUGCCGCAUGACACAGGGGUCAAAGAAAUUCGGUAUGAGGUGGGCUCGCGUCUGAUUAGAUAGUUGGUGAGGUAGCGGCUCACCAAGUCGACGAUCAGUAGCCGACCUGAGAGGGUGAUCGGCCACAUUGGAACUGAGAUACGGUCCAAACUCCUACGGGAGGCAGCAGUGGGGAAUAUUGGGCAAUGGGGGAAACCCUGAUGCAGCGACGCCGCGUGAGUGAAGAAGUAUUUCGGUAUGUAAAGCUCUAUCAGCAAGGAAGAAAAUGACGGUACUUGACUAAGAAGCCCCGGCUAACUACGUGCCAGCAGCCGCGGU